AAAUCAGUUAUGGUUCACUAGAUCGUAUUUCCUACACGGAUAACUGUGGUAAUUCUAGAGCUAAUACGUGCAAACAGCUGGUUCCCUUGUGGAGCUAGCGCAGUUAUUAGAACAAAACCAAUCCGGCCUUCGGGUCGGUUAAAAUGGUGACUCUGAAUAACCGAAGCGGAGCGUAUGGUCUCGUACCGACGCCAGAUCUUUCAAGUGACUGCUCUAUCAGCUUGUUGCUAGGUUAUGCUCCUAGCAAGGCUUCAACGGGUAACGGGGUAUCAGGGUCCGAUACCGGAGAGGGAGCCUGAGAAACGGCUACCACAUCCAAGGAAGGCAGCAGGCGCGCAAAUUACCCACUCCCAGCACGGGGAGGUAGUGACGAAAAAUAACGAUGCGAGGGCUUAUUGCUUCUCGUAAUCGGAAUGGGUACACUUUAAAUCCUUUAACGAGGAUCUAUUGGAGGGCAAGUCUGGUGCCAGCAGCCGCGGUAAUUCCAGCUCCAAUAGCGUAUAUUAAAGUUGCUGCGGUUAAAAAGCUCGUAGUUGGAUCUGGGCAGCUGGAUGGGUGGUCAGCUUCACGCUGUACUGCUCGUUCGGCGCCACAAGCCGGUCUUGUCUUGCAUGCUCUUCACUGGGUGUGCUUGGCGACCGGAACGUUUACUUUGAAAAAAUUAGAGUGCUCAAAGCAAGCGUAUGGCUUUGAAUAAUGGUGCAUGGAAUAAUGGAAUAGGACUUCGGUUCUAUUUUGUUGGUUAUCGGAAUCGAGGUAAUGAUUAAUAGGAACAGACGGGGGCAUUCGUAUUCCGGCGUUAGAGGUGAAAUUCUUGGAUCGUCAGAAGACGAACUACUGCGAAAGCAUUUGUCAAGAAUGUUUUCAUUAAUCAAGAACGAAAGUUAGAGGUUC
Molecule: ribosomal RNA, 894 nt
Filed under: Mesobiotus cf. furciger
Lineage: Eukaryota; Metazoa; Tardigrada; Eutardigrada; Parachela; Macrobiotidae
Description: SSU rRNA
Rfam family: Eukaryotic small subunit ribosomal RNA
Source: RNAcentral